Molecule: ribosomal RNA, 446 nt
Filed under: uncultured bacterium
Lineage: Bacteria
Description: bacterial SSU rRNA
Rfam family: Bacterial small subunit ribosomal RNA
Source: RNAcentral
GUAGGGAAUAUUGGGCAAUGGACGCAAGUCUGACCCAGCCAUGCCGCGUGCAGGAAUGACGGCCCUAUGGGUUGUAAACUGCUUUUCUGCAAGAAGAACCCCCCGCACGUGUGCGGGGCUGACGGUAUUGCAGGAAUAAGCAUCGGCUAACUCCGUGCCAGCAGCCGCGGUAAUACGGAGGAUGCAAGCGUUAUCCGGAUUCAUUGGGUUUAAAGGGUGCGCAGGCGGAUUAGUAAGUCAGUGGUGAAAGCCUACAGCUUAACUGUAGAACUGCCGUUGAUACUGCUAAUCUUGAGUGUAGUUGAGGUAGGCGGAAUGUGUCAUGUAGCGGUGAAAUGCUUAGAUAUGACACAGAACACCGAUCGUGAAGACAGCUUACCAAGCUACAACUGACGCUCAUGCACGAAAGCGUGGGGAUCAAACAGGAUUAGAAACCCGGGUAGUCC